This is a long non-coding RNA of Cebus imitator (Panamanian white-faced capuchin), 1282 nucleotides long. RefSeq lists it as uncharacterized. The record is from RefSeq and is a predicted model, not a curated record. The transcript has 4 exons. Lineage: Eukaryota; Metazoa; Chordata; Mammalia; Primates; Cebidae.
CCAUGAGCGGAGCCACAGCCACUGCGGCUGAGCUCAGAGCCUUCUGUGGGGUCUGCAGGGGCCAGGCCAGCUGCCCCCUGGGAGUGUUUGAAGAAUGCAGUUCGUUUGUAUAAGAAAGACUUUUCUCUAGAGUCAUUCAUCUUGAUGAUCAAGGAUGUUUAACAGCUUCAGGCUUUCCUGGUGUGUUUUAUGGAGGAGAAUGUAGUCUACCUUAAUGAGUGAUUUAUGUGGGCUUGAGAAGACUCCGCAUUCUGUCCAUUGUUGGAUAAAGUCUUCUGUAGAUGUCAUUUAUAUCAAGUUAAUUGAUUGUGCUGCUGUGUUCAACUGAAUUCUGCUUUUUUUCUGCCUGGUGGAUCUGUCUGUUUCUGAAAGAGGAGUUUUGAAGUCUACAACUAUAAGAUGCUGAAUGACCAUAGAAUGGUCUACAUUGAGUCCUUCAGCAACUUUGUGUAGUUAGUUGUAAGAGGAUCAGCUUCAGUGAUUGCUCUCAGUUGGUCCUUCUCAACUUCCAAUAGCUGGAGACUAUACUCCUCAUCUUCAGAUACUACAAGAUGAUCCGGACAAAUUACCUUUAUUUCAUGCCCAAGCCAAGUAGCCAUGAUUUCUUCAAGGAGUCCUAGUUUCUUUACAAAUUGAAUUAGAAAUAAAGAUUGGGUACCAGAUCUACUCAUUGGGGCAUCUGUUGAUUUGGGGCCUUGUUAGCUGACACAGCAAAUAAAUAUAUCUGUGUAUACUACCACACACAUAUAAAUGUAUCUAUAAAUAUUUCCUCAUGUGUUCAUGUGUAUCUUUAUUAAGUUAAAUAUGAAUUCCCCUAAUGUCUCUAAUACCACCAGAGUCUAAUCCAGCACCACGAGUCAGUCUCCCCAUUCCCUCUACUUCUACGUAACCUCUCGUUCUAACUGUGAGACAUUUGGCCUCCUUUACUUAAUAAUUGAGUUCCAACUUACAUGUGCAGUGGCUUCAGAAUAAUCUAUACCCCUAUGGUGAACAACAUUACCAACUAAAGUACAGUGCUAAUGGACACUCCUUUGGCUUUUAGAGUCAGAAUUUCCACUUAUUUCCUAAGUUACUUAGGUAAGCUCCUUUCCCCACCUACUCCCUUCAGUGAGAUUAUUUUAUACAUUUGUUAUGCAUUAAUCUUAUUUUGUCUGCAUUUCUCCAUGGGAUCCCCCAGCCUAUGAACUAGAUUUUUAAUUUUCAAACAUUUAAGUUCACUCUUUGAGUUAUAAGGUUCUAUAGGGCUUCAAAAACAGUAUGAUAUACCCACUAUUACCAUAUC